This 475-nucleotide ribosomal RNA is filed under the name uncultured organism. RNAcentral describes it as "partial 16S ribosomal RNA". It matches the Rfam family "Bacterial small subunit ribosomal RNA", at positions 331 to 797 of the family's 1533-position model. The record is from RNAcentral.
GUACACUCCUACGGGAGGCAGCAGUGGGGAAUUUUGGACAAUGGGCGAAAGCCUGAUCCAGCAAUGCCGCGUGAGUGAAGAAGGCCUUCGGGUUGUAAAGCUCUUUUGUCAGGGAAGAAACGGUGAAAGCUAAUAUCUUUUGCUAAUGACGGUACCUGAAGAAUAAGCACCGGCUAACUACGUGCCAGCAGCCGCGGUAAUACGUAGGGUGCAAGCGUUAAUCGGAAUUACUGGGCGUAAAGCGUGCGCAGGCGGUUUUGUAAGUCUGAUGUGAAAUCCCCGGGCUCAACCUGGGAAUUGCAUUGGAGACUGCAAGGCUAGAAUCUGGCAGAGGGGGGUAGAAUUCCACGUGUAGCAGUGAAAUGCGUAGAUAUGUGGAGGAACACCGAUGGCGAAGGCAGCCCCCUGGGUCAAGAUUGACGCUCAUGCACGAAAGCGUGGGGAGCAAACAGGAUUAGAAACCCCAGUAGUCCCA